UGGGGAAUUUUGGACAAUGGGCGAAAGCCUGAUCCAGCAAUGCCGCGUGUGUGAAGAAGGCCUUCGGGUUGUAAAGCACUUUUGUCCGGAAAGAAAUCCUUGGCUCUAAUACAGUCGGGGGAUGACGGUACCGGAAGAAUAAGCACCGGCUAACUACGUGCCAGCAGCCGCGGUAAUACGUAGGGUGCAAGCGUUAAUCGGAAUUACUGGGCGUAAAGCGUGCGCAGGCGGUUUGCUAAGACCGAUGUGAAAUCCCCGGGCUCAACCUGGGAACUGCAUUGGUGACUGGCAGGCUAGAGUAUGGCAGAGGGGGGUAGAAUUCCACGUGUAGCAGUGAAAUGCGUAGAGAUGUGGAGGAAUACCGAUGGCGAAGGCAGCCCCCUGGGCCAAUACUGACGCUCAUGCACGAAAGCGCGGGGAGCAAACAGGAUUAGAUACCCCUGGUAGUCCACGCCCUAAACGAUGUCAACUAGUUGUUGGGGAUUCAUUUCCUUAGUAACGUAGCUAACGCGUGAAGUUGACCGCCUGGGGAGUACGGUCGCAAGAUUAAAACUCAAAUGAAUUGACGGGGUCAUAGCUGUUU
RNAcentral lists this ribosomal RNA (583 nucleotides) under uncultured bacterium. RNAcentral's name for it is "partial 16S ribosomal RNA". It matches the Rfam family "Bacterial small subunit ribosomal RNA", at positions 355 to 935 of the family's 1533-position model. The record is from RNAcentral.